This 403-nucleotide ribosomal RNA is filed under the name uncultured bacterium. RNAcentral describes it as "partial 16S ribosomal RNA". It matches the Rfam family "Bacterial small subunit ribosomal RNA", at positions 30 to 526 of the family's 1533-position model. The record is from RNAcentral.
AUUGAACGCUGGCGGCAGGCCUAACACAUGCAAGUCGAGCGAGCGGCGGACGGGUGAGUAAUGUAUGGGGACUGCCCGAUAGAGGGGGAUAACUACUGGAAACGGUUGCUAAUACCGCAUACUAUCGGAUAACCCAUAUGGGAUUAGCGAGUAUGUUGGGUAAAGGCUCACCUAGGCGACGAUCGCUAGCUGGUCUGAGCGGAUGAUCAGCAAACCUGGGACUGAGACACGGCCCAGAAUCCUACGGAGGCAGAAGUGGGUAAUAUUGCACAAUGGGAGCAAGCCUGAGGCAGCCAUGCCGCGUGUAUGAAGAAGGCCUUAGGGUUGGAAAGUACGUUCAGCGGGGAGGCGUUACCCGCAGAAGAAGCACCGGCUAACUCCGUGCCAGCAGCCGCGGUAAUAC